RNAcentral lists this ribosomal RNA (497 nucleotides) under uncultured bacterium. RNAcentral's name for it is "partial 16S ribosomal RNA". It matches the Rfam family "Bacterial small subunit ribosomal RNA", at positions 28 to 507 of the family's 1533-position model. The record is from RNAcentral.
GAUGAACGCUGGCGGCGUGCCUAAUACAUGCAAGUCGAGCGAACAGACGAGGAGCUUGCUCCUCUGACGUUAGCGGCGGACGGGUGAGUAACACGUGGAUAACCUACCUAUAAGACUGGGAUAACUUCGGGAAACCGGAGCUAAUACCGGAUAAUAUAUUGAACCGCAUGGUUCAAUAGUGAAAGACGGUUUUGCUGUCACUUAUAGAUGGAUCCGCGCCGCAUUAGCUAGUUGGUAAGGUAACGGCUUACCAAGGCGACGAUGCGUAGCCGACCUGAGAGGGUGAUCGGCCACACUGGAACUGCGACACGGUCCAGACUCCUACGGGAGGCAGCCGUAGGGAAUCUUCCGCAAUGGGCGAAAGCCUGACGGAGCAACGCCGCGUGAGUGAUGAAGGUCUUCGGAUCGUAAAACUCUGUUAUUAGUGAAGAACAAAUGUGUAAGUAACUAUGCACGUCUUGACGGUACCUAAUCAGAAAGCCACGUCUAACUACGUG